AGUGGGAUAGCUGGGUCAAAUGGUGUUUCCAUUCCAAGGUUUCUCCAUACUGUUUUCCAAAGUGGUUGUACCAUUUUGCAAUCCCACCAGCAAU
This 94-nucleotide microRNA precursor is filed under the name Marmota monax (woodchuck). Lineage: Eukaryota; Metazoa; Chordata; Mammalia; Rodentia; Sciuridae. The record is from RNAcentral.